Molecule: long non-coding RNA, 526 nt
Organism: Cebus imitator (Panamanian white-faced capuchin)
Lineage: Eukaryota; Metazoa; Chordata; Mammalia; Primates; Cebidae
Exons: 4
Source: RefSeq, a predicted model, not a curated record
GAAAGAGCUGCCACCGAAAAAGGGGCCCGUCCUUCCUGCUUCAUCUCCAGAGGAUGCACCAACCCCAGCCUGCAGGUCUGCCUCCGGGCCCUCUGGCUAGAGGGGGGUGGCAGGCUUCGAGUGGAUUCUCCUUGCAAAUGAGAUAAGACAUCUGAGAACAAAGAAGUCAUGAAGAAGAGAGGAAAUCAUGAUAGGCUGACAGAAUUUGAAGAAAGAGAAACCGCGUAUUUUCUGAGAUCUAAUCCAUUUAUUUGGGAUCCAUCUGAAUGAGCAUCUUAUUUCACUGGGCAAUCCUGUAUUCUAGCUGCAGAUGAAGAGAGUGCUUCACUUCAAACCUCCUGACUGCCAUGGAACCAUCUGGCACGUGCACAUGUGUGGGAUAUAAGAAGAAUGGCUCCUUCCUGAGUUACUCUUUCUUGGAUCAAUUACUCUGAUGGAAACCAGCUACCAUGUCACAAGUACACUCAGCUGGCCUAAUGGGAGACCCACAUGGGAAGGAACUGAGGCCUCCCAUCAAUAACCAACA